CCCUUAGAUGUUCUGGGCCGCACGCGCGUUACAAUGAAUCGUUCAACAGGUUUCUUCCUGAGUCGAAAGGCUUGGGUAAUCCUUUAAAUACGGUUCGUGCUAGGGAUAGAUUUUUGCAAUUAUUAAUCUUGAACGAGGAAUAUUUAGUAAACGCAGGUCAUCAGCCUGCAUUGAUUACGUCCCUGCCCUUUGUACACACCGCCCGUCGCACCAACCGAUUGGAUGUUUUGUUGAAAUAUGUGGAUGCUUGCUGGGUGAAUUCAUUUUUGCUUGAUAGACAGAAACGUAUUAAAACUGAAUAUCUAGAGGAUGGUGAAGUCGUAACA
RNAcentral lists this ribosomal RNA (326 nucleotides) under uncultured eukaryote. RNAcentral's name for it is "partial 18S ribosomal RNA". It matches the Rfam family "Eukaryotic small subunit ribosomal RNA", at positions 1470 to 1796 of the family's 1831-position model. The record is from RNAcentral.